GCAGGCCUAAUACAUGCAAGUCGAACGGCAGCGGGGGGUAGCUUGCUACCUCGCCGGCGAGUGGCGGACGGGUGAGUAAUGCCUGGGGAGCUGCCCAAUCGAGGGGGAUACCAGUUGGAAACGACUGCUAAUACCGCAUACGCCCUGAGGGGGAAAGGUGGGGAUCUUCGGACCUACCGCGAUUGGAUGCGCCCAGGUGGGAUUAGCUAGUUGGUGAGGUAACGGCUCACCAAGGCGACGAUCUCUAGCUGGUCUGAGAGGAUGACCAGCCACACUGGAACUGAGACACGGUCCAGACUCCUACGGGAGGCAGCAGUGGGGAAUAUUGCACAAUGGGGGAAACCCUGAUGCAGCCAUGCCGCGUGUGUGAAGAAGGCCUUCGGGUUGUAAAGCACUUUCAGUCAGGAGGAAAGGUGGCUAGCUAAUACCUAGUUGCUGUGACGUUACUGACAGAAGAAGCACCGGCUAACUCCGUGCCAGCAGCCGCGGUAAUACGGAGGGUGCAAGCGUUAAUCGGAAUUACUGGGCGUAAAGCGCACGCAGGCGGCUUGUUAAGUCAGAUGUGAAAGCCCCGGGCUCAACCUGGGAACUGCAUUUGAAACUGACAAGCUAGAGUCUUGUAGAGGGGGGUAGAAUUCCAGGUGUA
Molecule: ribosomal RNA, 646 nt
Filed under: uncultured bacterium
Lineage: Bacteria
Description: bacterial SSU rRNA
Rfam family: Bacterial small subunit ribosomal RNA
Source: RNAcentral